This 1232-nucleotide ribosomal RNA is filed under the name Methylophilales bacterium BACL14 MAG-120920-bin58. Its description in RNAcentral is "bacterial SSU rRNA". It matches the Rfam family "Bacterial small subunit ribosomal RNA", at positions 277 to 1533 of the family's 1533-position model. The record is from RNAcentral. Lineage: Bacteria; Pseudomonadati; Pseudomonadota; Betaproteobacteria; Nitrosomonadales.
UGAUCAAUAGCUGAUUUGAGAGGAUGAUCAGCCACAUUGGGACUGAGACACGGCCCAAACUCCUACGGGAGGCAGCAGUGGGGAAUCUUGCACAAUGGAGGAAACUCUGAUGCAGCGAUGCCGCGUGAGUGAAGAAGGCCUUUGGGUUGUAAAGCUCUUUCGUCGGGGAAGAAAAUGACUGUACCCGAAUAAGAAGGUCCGGCUAACUUCGUGCCAGCAGCCGCGGUAAUACGAAGGGACCUAGCGUAGUUCGGAAUUACUGGGCUUAAAGAGUUCGUAGGUGGUUGAAAAAGUUGGUGGUGAAAUCCCAGAGCUUAACUCUGGAACUGCCAUCAAAACUUUUCAGCUAGAGUAUGAUAGAGGAAAGCAGAAUUUCUAGUGUAGAGGUGAAAUUCGUAGAUAUUAGAAAGAAUACCAAUUGCGAAGGCAGCUUUCUGGAUCAUUACUGACACUGAGGAACGAAAGCAUGGGUAGCGAAGAGGAUUAGAUACCCUCGUAGUCCAUGCCGUAAACGAUGUGUGUUAGACGUUGGAAAUUUAUUUUCAGUGUCGCAGGGAAACCGAUAAACACACCGCCUGGGGAGUACGACCGCAAGGUUAAAACUCAAAUGAAUUGACGGGGACCCGCACAAGUAGUGGAGCAUGUGGUUUAAUUCGAAGAUACGCGCAGAACCUUACCAACACUUGACAUGUUCGUCGCGACUCUAAGAGAUUAGAGUUUUCGGUUCGGCCGGACGAAACACAGGUGCUGCAUGGCUGUCGUCAGCUCGUGUCGUGAGAUGUUGGGUUAAGUCCCGCAACGAGCGCAACCCUCACUUUUAGUUGCCAUCAUUAAGUUGGGCACUCUGAAAGAACUGCCAGUGAUAAGCUGGAGGAAGGUGGGGAUGACGUCAAGUCCUCAUGGCCCUUAUGUGUUGGGCUACACACGUGCUACAAUGGCAUCUACAACAGGAAGCAAAACGGCAACGUUAAGCAAAUCCCGAAAAGAUGCCUCAGUUCGGAUUGCACUCUGCAACUCGAGUGCAUGAAGCUGGAAUUACUAGUAAUCGUGGAUCAGCGUGCCACGGUGAAUGCGUUCCCGGGUCUUGUACACACCGCCCGUCACACCAUGGGAGUUGGUUCUACCUUAAGGCAAGGUUUUAAACCCUUGACCACGGUAUAGUCAGCGACUGGGGUGAAGUCGUAACAAGGUAGCCGUAGGGGAACCUGCGGCUGGAUUACCUCCUUUCUAAG